Cedecea davisae DSM 4568 is the source of this 114-nucleotide non-coding RNA. The record is from Rfam. NCBI's taxonomy places the organism in Bacteria, Pseudomonadati, Pseudomonadota, Gammaproteobacteria, Enterobacterales, Enterobacteriaceae.
AGCUGUAGUCAGGCGUGAAGGGUUCGAACCUGCAGCAGGUUUGAGUUGAGCGAAAGCGAAACAACGUUGCUUAGCAACGGCCCGAAGGGUGAAGUCAUCCUGCACGACCCACAA